This 31571-nucleotide long non-coding RNA is filed under the name Solanum lycopersicum (tomato). Its description in RNAcentral is "long non-coding RNA (SLYC_LNC000275)". The record is from RNAcentral. Lineage: Eukaryota; Viridiplantae; Streptophyta; Magnoliopsida; Solanales; Solanaceae.
CGCAAUUUGCCAAUUUUUUUGAUGUCACGGCCGGGGAGCACCCCCAGACGUAAUCGGCUUCGUUGUCGUCAGACAGUACUAAGAAUAUCCUCUUAGAAUUCGUCAUUACAUUUCAUAGCUUAAAUGAAAAAAUUUAAAACCUUUAUAUAUUGAGGUGUAUAUAGACCUCUCGCAUACUACUUAUUGAGUGUACUUAGACUCUUCGCAUAGGAAGCUUACAUAAGCUUCUCGUUUGGACAAUAUACAUAACAUAUAAAAAUAUAGUCUAAUAUACUGUCUCACCUUAAAACCAUCUAAAAUGAAAUCAAAUUAUUCGAGCAUGGCCCUUAAACAAAUCUAUGAUUUCCACUUAGGGCUUACAACAAUAUCAUCAAUAAUAAGAGAGAAAAGAUGUCUUUUAGACUAUAGCAAAUCCGACUAGAUUAGAUAGAAGGCAUCAUCCUCGAACAUUGAGGACUCACCAAUCAACUUAAGAAAGAUGUUCAAGUCUUCUUGCAUUUUGGCCUUGAUACCUCAAAGACCCGAACCAAUACUGUUUGGGAAAAGGGAAAGAAAUGGAUUAGUACAUCCACUUGUACUAAGUAUGGAAACAUAUGAACAUAUAAUAUUAAAAUCAUGCUUAAAGGGACAUUUUGAUCAAUAUCAUUCUAAAUCAAUUUUAAAAGCUUUCAUGCACAAUUAGGAAUAUAAGUCAUUGGGCACAACAUCACUCAAUACAAGUCCAUAUCCAAAAUAAGACCAAUAUCAUGAUAAAGUCAAGUCAACAUGAAUUCUAUCAAAAUAAGGCCAAAUCACAUAAAUAGUAUCAUAUCAGGAUCAUAUAACCAAAGGAAUUCCAACAUCACAAUAAAGCAUGUACAAGAUUUCAUCUCAUCACAUCAUACAAGACUCUUACACACAAACCCUUCCCAAGCCUACAAUUGCAGUGCCUAUAUGAAGUCCCAUAACCCCACAUAGUCCAGCAAACAAGGAAAGAGGUCAUAAAUAAUGCUUAACUUCAUUUAACAUAGCAUAAUGAGUAAUCAUCAUCAUAUAUAGCAAUAUAUACCAAUAACAUGCUCAUAAGUGAAACUAACAUCAUAUAGGGUUAUCAACAUGUAAAUCAACAUUUGCAUAUCAUUAAAAUAAUAAGAGCAUAAGUAAAGUCUCAUACCCCUACCUAUACUAAGAAGAACCCCUUAAGUCACCAUAGUUAGAGUUCCUUUUAUUACUUUAAUUUUACUUUCAGGAACAAUUGCCUGAACCGACAUAAACCAUGUAAGUUAAACAUGAAUCCAGUGUCAUGAAACCCUACACUGAAAGAAGGUGGUCUACUUGCCAAGGUAGUACAAAAAAUAUAAAUAUAGCAUUCUAGGUGGAUCCACUAGCUAGUAUUCCUAUGGGGGCAACACAGUUUAAGAACUAGGAGACAUACUUGAGACCCUUUUUAUGCACAAUGGCAUUGGAAUCUCUAUGUCAAGAGAACCAUUGUGAACCUACCUUCCUACAUUGGGAAGGGACACCUCUCAUAACUAGUUUACUCAAUGCUAAGCUAAAGUCCCUUUGUCAAAUGUCUUUAAGUAAUUCUUAAUAAUCAUAGCUUAAUAUAGGUCAUAGGAGACUAACCCCUUCUAUAUUCAUAGUUAUUAGCUCAUUAGGUAAUGUAUGAGAAUUCCCUUUCAUUACAAACCUUCAAUUGUAAGAUUAGCACACCAACAUCAUCAUAUCAUAGUAAGUAACAUAAGUGAUCCACAAUCAACCUUAUAUAAUCAUACCUUAAUCAUUAUCAACAACUCAUAUAUUCAAGAAAUUUCAAUUACAUUCAUCAUUUCAUCACCUACUUGAUAUAUUCACAUGUAAUACUUCAAUUGAACAUCAUCAUCAAGUAUAAGCCAUCAUAAUUUAAGUAGGGAUUCAAGAUCACAUGGCCUUAAUAAUUAACCUUCAAAGCCUUCCUCAAGGUCUUAACAUCAACCCAACCACAUUCAUCCAUAAAUAUACUUAAUGACAUCAUAUUAUAAUAAUCAACAGAAGAACUAAGUCAAUUGAAUCAUCAUAACCAAUUCAAUAUCAAUCCAUCACCUAGGGUUAGGGAAUGGGGUUCAUCAUGAAUUUUUCAAGAACUACAUUCAAUCGCAUUAAUGUAUAACCCUAAGCAGUCCAUGAAUGAAUUAUAUAGUUGAAACAAAACUAACUAUCAAAACCUACCUCAAUUCCCACCAAUUCAUAUGUAAGAUCCAAGGUGUGUGGAAAUUAGGAAAAAUAUAUGAAUCACAUAAAAUUCCAAUUAAUCAAAAAUAUACACUUAGUAAGCCUUAUAUAACCAUAGUUUUAAAUAAUCAAUCAUCAAUUUCGAAUUUAGAAGAAAACCUGUUUGUAGAUAAAAACCCUUGAAAUUUGGGUUAUUUAGAAAUCAACUUUGUAUUGACCUGUUGGGGAAAGGAACCCCUAAACUAAAAUAAUACAUACCUUAAGAAGAUUUAUACACAAAAUUUGAUUAAGAACCUUGGAGAUUGUCUUCUUAUUCAAGCUUUUUGGAUUCUUCAAUGAAGGAUGAGAUAGAGAGAGAAUGUAGAGACUAGUGGGAGAAAUUGGGUUUCAAUUUGUGUUUGAGUUUAAAAGUGGGAAAUAGAUGUUAAUUGAACUAAAAUCAAUAUAUAGUCCAUCCCAAAAAUACCCAAACUACCCCUCAUUAAUUUGGACUUCCAAAAGUGAAGUCCAACUUAACAUUAACUAUGAAGCCCCGCUCACCUUCACUCCCCACUUCACGGUCCGUGAAGUGAUUGAUGGACCAUGGUGGUGGUCGUGGAAGGUGAGUUAGUAUCUCCCCAAAAGAUCCACCUUCAUUUUUCACUAAGGAAUCUUUAUGACCCCUUGCUCCCUUCCGUGAUCAUUCACCACAUCCCGUUAAGUGGCUCGUGGUGCUCCUAGGAAGUAGCUCACUAACGCCUCACCCAUUUUCCCCCAAAUGGAUAAGGCAUUUUCUCUCCUAACCCCUUCCUUCUGUCAAGUUCACCACGAGUCGUGAAGUGGCUUGUGGUGUCUUAAACAGUAGCUAGCCCUCCAUGUCACCUUCCCCUUUUGGCUUUGGCUUGCCCUUGAAGGUUGGCACUCCUAACUUGGUCUUCCUUCCUUAAACCACUUCUUAGGCACCUAUAGUUACCCCAUUACUUUUCCAUGAACAAACCUUUUGACACCUUCUUGAAACCAUGUUAGCACCACUAGUUCAAGUUACCAACUCAUCGGGUGUCAUGGUCGUUUCUUGAGGUUUUCAUUCAAACACUUCUUAACUAGUUUCAAUACUUUGUUUUAGACUUAGGAAGAGUUUUCCAAGUACUAGUUCAUCAUGUGAGGCUCUAUAUUAGGUAUUGGACUUCCAGAAUGUUACAUCGACGAAAUUUCCAUAUUUUUGUUCUAACUCUUUUUUCAAGUUCAUUGCAGAUAUCGCCAAACCCAAAGUAGCUAAAAGAAUUAUUUCAUCCCGAAAAAUCAUAGCGAAGAAUUUCAGGAGGAGUCAAAAAGCAAAAAAUUCUCCCAAAAAUAUAUAACAAGGGAUAAAAUCCCAGUUCGAGCAAGAGGAUAAAUCCACAGGAUCCUGCUAUUCCCUCAUGAAGAUGUGGAUUCUUCAUAUCAAUAGACUCCUUCUUGGCAGAUCAUGGAAUGGAUAAUUCCAGCAAAGAAGUUGCCUCUGAAUCUGGUGAAAUGGCUCCAUAAGCUAUUGUUCUAUACCAGACUGACACAUUGGCAAUGGAGCUCAAAUAGAUGAAGCUACUGAGUAGACAAGAUCCCUCUCUACAUUUUUCUAUAUUUUUCUCUAAUAUCUAAUUGUGGAUGCUUUCAACUACAUUUGAGGAUAAAUGUUUAAAUAUGGUAGGUGAGGACCACAACCUUGUAUUUGAAAGUAUUAUGUUUACGUGUAUUUUGUUUAUAUUUUAUGGGUUGUUAUUUUUAAAUUGUGUUUUAUCUGCUUUUUUGAAUGAUUGGGCUUAUAUCUCCCUUUUGGAUAUAAUUUCAAAUUAAUUUUGACCCUUUCGAAAAAUUUUAAUUUUUUCAAAAAUAUUCACCACCUCUUGUAUAUAUUUGAAAAUGUGGUUUUUCUUAGGCAAAUUUAAGUCUUGGUUUAGAUCAAUACUCAUGACUUGAAUAGGGCUUGUAAUAGAACAAACAUGAAAGUAUGGCUACAAUGAGGCCAGAUAAAAUUGCAUAUACAAUAUGUGAACUCUUUGCAUCUCAUUGUGAUUAGACAAUUGUCAAAUUAAUUCUCUUGUAAUGUUUGUUUCACACUAGCAAAAGUGUGGAGUCUUGUUUGACUUUAAUUUUGGUGUCUUGUGUGAUAAGCUUACCUUGAACCAUGCAUGACAACACCUAGAAUUUUCCGCAUUGGUUUUAUUGAUUAAGUAAAGCUUUCUCUUAAAGAGUGAAAACCAAUUUGAGUGUGUGAAACUCUCUUGAACACUCCUUAAGCCUAACCUUUCUUUGGAAGAAACUUGACAACAACUUGACCUCUCUUAACCUUUUACCCAUAACCCUCUAGAUUUGUGCUUAAUAGCAUAGAUAACUUACGCCAAAAGCCUAUGUUAGGGGUGUGGUGAAAAGAGAAAGCAAGUCGAGAAAGUGCAAUAAAGAUCGCGUCUACCCAUUAUGUUGAGAAAAAUGGAACCCCUCCAUAUAAAAAGAGAGAAUAGAAAUAAAGAAAAAAAUGAAAAAGAAAGUAGUGAAAUUUACUUGAAAAUUACAAAAACAAAAAAGGGGUUCCCAACACAUUAUGCGAAAGUGAAUAAAGGGAUAGGUCGUAAGCACUAAUGAAUUUGUUUGAGAGAAAAGGAAAGGAAGUGUUGUAGGAACCACAUCUUAUGAAAAGCAUAAUCACUAAGCCUAAAUGACCAUACAUGUGCACUCAGCCCAAUUGCAAGACUUAAAAGGGACUUUUUUAUCUUAAGAAAGCUUAAACAAAUGUUGAUGGGAUAAUACGGGCAAAUCUAUGGGUGAAAGCAUGCAUUUUGUUCCUCUUUUUGAGAGUGAGAGUUGUAUAUGAUUCCCAAACCUUAAAUGAUUAACAUCAUGUGUGUGAGAAUGGAAUUUUCAGUUGUAUCAGGGCAUUCAAAGAAUUUUGUUGAGCUUGAACUUGCAUUUGAAGCAAGUAAUGCGAGCUUGAAAAAAUUUGGAAUGGUGUGUCACAACUUGAAUCUAUGGGUACACAAUUGAUCCUUGCAUAAGUAAAUUGAGUCUUGUUGUAUACAUUCAUGAUUGUAUCUUCUGUAGCACUAUUUAAGACAUUCUUUUUAAACUGUUGAACUUUAGUUUUACUUCAGGACAAUCAAAAAUUUAAGUUGGGGGCGUUGAUGAGUCCAUAAAUUGGACUCAUUUAGGGCUAUAUUUUGAUAAAAAUAGCAUCUUUAAAUGUUUUUGUCUCAGUUACUGAUGAAUAACCUUGAGUUUCAGGUAUUUUGAGUUUGAGGAAAAGCAUGAACGCUACUUAUCAAAAAGGAACAAAGAGGAUGAUAAGAGCAAAGAAAUGGAGGCUUGAGGAUCACCGAGCCAACUUGGCAACUCCCCGAUAGGUUUGAAGAUCGCCUUUUCUUAAAGUGUGUUGAGCUUUGAAGGAAAGGAUCAAAUCAUCGGUAAAAAGAAGCAGUUGGCGCACCACCAAGAAGUUUUGUGAAACAGUGUCGUAUCCCCUAGAGAUCAAGAACACAAAGAUGCUUAGACUACGGAUAAGAUACUGAUGAAGUAAUUAAAAGGCGGAUCGCCGAUUUAUUCAGCAAUUCCGACUAAUGUCGUUAUUCAUCCCGUUGCAGCACUAAUCUUUCAAAACUAUAAAUACUUGUUGAGUGUUUUAGUUUAGAGAGAACCAUUAUUGUUAGAAUACAUAAUUAUCAUUUUUUCCAGUUUUUAUCUAAGUUUUUGAGCUCUAAGUUGAGAAAGUUUUUGGGAGAAGAACUUGAAGACAAAAGGGUUCAACUCUAAGGAUUUGGACUUGGGUUUUUUAAUUAUUUUAUUCUUGGACUGUAACAAGAAUUGAAUCUUCAUACCCAUUGAAUGCAAGCUCAUUCAGGUAAAAAUUUCUAUCUCUUGAUGUGUGGCUAGAAACCUCAAUUCUUGGGGUGUGAUUUUGUGAAUAUAGGUUAAGAUUGUUGUUGGGUCUUUCUUGUUGAUAGAUUAAGUGUAGUUUAAUCAUGACUUAAUUUAGUAGUUGUGGAUAAAUCUAAUGAAUUUAUAGUUGCAAAUACAAGUUUAUUUAUUUGCUUUCGGCUUGCUCAAGAGAAAAGUAGUGAUACUAAGACUACUAAAUUUAUGGUCGGGGGAGUGGGUUUACAUGGGCUCAGCUCGAGAGAGUAAGCCCUAGUCUCAUUCCCACACACUCAUAUCAAGAGAGUGAGUGGGUUAAGGCGUAGGUUGGUCUUCAUACGUCAAGUGAGUGUCCGAGAGGAAAAUAUUUGAAUCGGGGUAAGUUACUCUAGAGAGAGUUUAUCCCCCUUAAAGCUUAGCCUAGUCUUAGUUAUUAUUUAAGUCUCCUAUCGAAAGCAUGUUCCAAACAAUUUAUCUUAAUCGGUAUUCCUAUAACAUCCGAAGAAUUCUCUCUCUCUUGAUUUAGUUCUCUUGUUAAUUUUGUUUUUUACUACAAGUGACAAAACCCCUCAUUGAUAUUUGAUGCUUGCAUCAUCCCAUCUUAGAUUUAUAAUGUUUUUAUUCGAUAAUGUCUUUAGCUAUGACUAGUUAGAAUGUAAUUUUACUAUUCUAUAAAUUAUCACUACCACUCCCUUAUGACAUGACCCCAACCCUUGGUUGGGUUACUAUACUAUUGCACAAUCGUAGAAACUCAUACUGAAAGUUAUGUCGUUGAUUAUGUAAAACAUCAAUACACGUAAUGAUCUCAAUGGUUGUUGUGUGUUUUCAAAGAUUGAUCUUAGAAGUGGUUAUCAUCAAAUCUGGAUAAACCCCGAUAAUGAAUGGAGUACCAUAUUGAAGGUCAAGUUUUGUUUAUAUGAAUGGUUGAUGAUGCAUUUUGGUCUCACUAAUGCUCCUAAUACCUCUAUGGGUCUCGUGAAUCAUGUGAUGAAACCAUUCAAAGGGAAGUUUGAGGUUGUCUAUUUUGAUGAUAUCUUGAUUUAUGGUAAAACCAUGCAUGAGCAUAUAGAUCAUUUGAGAUGUGUGUUUGAUGUUCUUAGAAAGGAGAAACUUUAUGCUAAUCUUGAAAGUGUUCAUUUUAUGUUGAUGAAGUUGUUUUCUUGGGCUUUGUUGUGAGUUCAAAAGGUGUUGAGGUUGAUGAGUCUAAGAUAGACAUUAUUAAGAAUUGGCAUAUCCCGAAGUCCAUAAGUGAUGUUAGAAGCUUUCAAGAGUUGGCCAGUUUUUAUUGGUAAUUUUCAAAGGAUUUAGUACCGUAGCUGCUCUCUUGACCGAGGUAAUACGAAAGGAUAAGCCUUUUAAGUGGUGGGGAGAAUAGAAAACCAAAGAUUAUAAGGCUUUAAAAUCAAUGCUUAGCUCCACUACUUUGUUGCAAUUACCCGAUUUUGAAAAAUGUUUGAAGUUGAAUGUCAUGCUAGUAAAGUAGGCAUUGGAGCCGUCUUAAUUCAAGACCAAAAGCACAUUGCUUAUUGUAGUGAAAAUCUCAAAGGUUCAACUUUCUUAUGAUGUUGAAUCAUAUGCUUUAAUUAGAAUAUUGGGUAAUUGGAAACACUUCUUGUGUCCCAAAAAAAUUGUCAUUCGGACCGACCAUGAGUCCUUAAAGCAUAUUCGAGCCCAAAGAAAAGUUGAACAAAAGGCACGCCAAAUGGAUUGAAUUCCUUGAAUCUUUCUUUUAUGUUAUUCAAUACAAAGGGGAAGUAAAAUGUGGUGGUCAAUGCCUUGUCUAGGAAACAUAUGUUGAUAAAUACAUUGUCUUUUAAAUUGUUUGGCUUUGAAUGUUUGAAGACAAUGUAUCCCAAGGAUCCCAUGUUUUCUCAAAUCUUCCAAGAUGUGAGGAAUGGGAGAGGGAAAUAUGACUUAGGGGUAAAUCUCCUACUCUCUGUUCUAAGUUUGAUGGUUUGUUUUUCAAAGAGAAGAGAGUAUAUGUUCCUAUGAGCUCUUAGAGAGAACUAUGUGUAAGGAAGGCAUACAAUGAGGAUUAAUGGGUCAUUUUAGUGUUGAUAAAACAAUGGGAAUUCUCGAGGAACAAUUUUAUUGACCUAAGAUGCAGAAAGAUGUUGCUCAAAUUUAUGGACAAUGUAUUGAACACCGGAGUUCCAAGUCAUGCCUCCUUCCCCAUUGUUUAUACAUUCCACUCUCCAUCCCUCAAAGGCCUUGGCUUGAUAUUUCAAUGGAUUUUUCUUUGGGUUUAGACAAAAACAGGUAGAGAUAGCAUUUUUGUUGUUGUUGAUCUUUUUUCAAAGAAGGCUCAUUUCAUUCCAUGUCAUACAUGUGAUGGUGCUUCUAAUGUGUCUUCUUUGUUUUUUGAAAAUGUUGUUAAAUUGUAGAAUUCGUCAAACCAUCAUAAGUGAUAGGUACCCAAAAUUCCUUAGACACUUUUGGAAAGAUUUGUGGGUAGACUUGGUACUAAGUUGUUGUUCUGAACUACGUAUACUUGUCAUUCACAAAUUGACACCCAAAUUGAAGUUGUGAAUAGGACGUUGGGUUCUAUUCUUCAUGUCCUGAUACAUGGGAAGUUGGCCUCAUGGGAGGAACAUUUGCCUUUGGUUUAGUUUGCUUAUAAUCAAGUUAUUCAUAAAACUAUUGUGAUACACCCAAAUUACACCUCCCGAAAGAAGUAUAAGAGGUCCUUACCAAAUUAAAGAACAUAACUUUCACGUUAGGGUCAAUCCAAGGAGGAAUAUGGUUUAGACUUAAGCUAACUUACACUUAUUUGUGUUUAGCCAAACUAUUUUCGAGAACAAUAAUAAAAAGGGGAGAUUCGUAAAUAAAAUAACAGAUUGUAGAUUUGAAUCACGAAGUAACAAGUAAAAAAUAUUCAUAAUUAGAGAUAUCAAUAUUGAAAACUAGAGUAUAAGUGUUCCCCACAAGCACUUAACGUGGUAUUCCUAAUAAUAGUAACUUUAUCCUAGUUUUUGACAAGCAAGGGUGAUAAGUUGGAUAUCCCUAAGUGAUUUUCCUCCAAGCAGGAAAGUUUACCUCACAACUUGGUAAGUCUAUGGGUGUGUACUUCACAAACCCUUACAUUUACUCUGGAUUAGCCCUCGUGUCAAUUGAGUUGGAGUUCGACUAUUAGAUAUCAACAAAUCCUUAACUAAAUCUCCAUUGUUUAAUAUUUUUCUUAUUCAUUACCAGUUUGGUGAGGCAAGUAGGAACGAGGCGAGUCCUAAUGUUGGUUUACGUAAAAAUAUUUUCAAACGAAAGAAUUAGUAAUACAUGCAUAAACACUAUUCAAGAAUUACUUAAUUAUUAUUCAUAAGUUGUUAAUUGCUCAUGGUUCUAAAAUCCUAGUUGUGUAUUUAGUUAUUCAUGUUUGAGAGUUCACAAUGCAUAUAAGGUUAACUAAAGAAAUCAUGAACUUACGAUUAGAAUAGAAGAAUACCAAAAUCUUGAAUCGAAAUUCGAAGUGCAAAUUGCAUAAAAUUAGCUUCUAGAAUUGAAGUGCCGAAGGUUUGCAAAAUAAUUCCAAAAAACAAAAACAAUACCAAAAAAUCGAGUCUAACUCUCAAAAACGAAAAAAAACUUGUUUUUAAAGUAUAAAAAUCCUAAACAAAAUAGGUAAAGGAAAUAAGAAAAUUUGGUUUAGACGCGGUUUAGAUCGAUGACAUGACCUACGGACCGUGAUCAGCCUACGGUAUAUAGUUUACCUCUGUGGUUUAGUACUUUGUAAAUAUUUCUGGGUCUUCAAAUGAAGAUUGCCACCUAAGGUCAGUGGAUUGCACUACAGUCCGUCAUGUUCCUCCGUGGUUCAAUUACUUCAAGGCAACUUUCUUGUCAAAAACGACGAUCGUGUAGAAAUGUCAGUCAUUCACUCUACGGGGCAUCAUUUCCCUCUGUGAUUCCAUUGUUAAUCAGACAUUUUGAACUCAAAUCUAUGAUUCUAUACCUAUGACCCGUCACUGGAACGAGGUUUGUGGUUGGCCUCAUCAAUUGCUACUACUAUCACUUCAAUUAUUUUUCUCUCUGAUUCUGCAAAAUAAGACCAAAUACUAUCACAUCUAAUAACAGAUAUCCCAAUACUCACAUAAAAUCCAAGUUAAAUGCAUCAAAAUACAUUAAACUCACGGUACAUUAUAGCGGUAUGACUUUAUUUGAAAUAGUGUAGGGUUUUAAUCCCCUAACCCCUUUAGAUCUCACUCUUAUUUCUCUAGAGGUUGUCUUAAGCUUAGAUGGGAGAAAAAUAUUGGAAGUGAUGAAGAAACUUUAUGAGAAGGUGAGACUUUACCUAGAAAAGAAGAAUCAAGAGGUAUCCAAAAAGGUAAACAAGGGUCGCAAGAGGAUUGUGCUAGAACCAGGUUAGUGGGUGUGGUUGCAUUUUCGCGAGGAGCGAUUUACUACUAAUCAAAAUACAAAGUUGAUGCCAAGAGGUGAUGUUCCAUUUCAAGUGCUUGAAAGACUCAAUAGCAAUGUAUACAAAAUUAACCUUCCCCCUGAGUAUCAAGUUCACAACACCUUCAAUGUAUGGGACCAUUCUCUAUUUUCAACUCUUCAUGAUGAUGAUCCAUCAAAUUUGAGGAUAAAUUAUUCAGAAAAAAAGGAGAGAAUGAUGCAAUUCGAAUUGCACCAAUGUCGUCUACUCAAAGUCAAGAUCGAGACCUUCAGAGAAUUCACGGUUUGUUUAUGAAGUUAGAGGUCCUUUAUCUUUUUUGGGCCACUUUUGGGCCUCUUAUAUAGUAAUUGCCUAAAACUAUAAAUAGGAAAUUUGGGUCGUAAAGUAUUUUGAAUAUUGAUAUUUUGAAACUCUUUUAUGAAUGUUGAGAGUUUGGUACAAGCUUGGGUUGAUUAUUGCUUAGAAAUGUUGGUUGCAAGUUUAAUUCAUUUCUAUUGUGGUCUUUGUAACAGAUUCGGUCCUUGAUUCAAAUUAAUCGAUCAAGGUCUUUAGGUCUAAUAUACUUGUAGGUUGCUUUUGAUUUUUUUUUCUUGUGUCAAUAUAUCUAUCUUUAUUUCUUGUCUUUAAUUUCCUCACCCAUAAUUCAUAGCGAGAAUUAAUUCAGGUAAGAUAGGGGAUUGUUUUUUAAAAAAAAACAUAAUAUUUUUAAUUAAUUUUUUGAGAAGAAAAAAUUAAGAGGUAGGUGGGUGGAAAGUGGGGGCAAGGAUGGUUCCUUAGAGGAGGAAGUAAUUUUCUUCUUUGAAAAACAUAGAAGAAAGCUAAUCUUUUUUAUGGAAAAACAUAAAAAUAAAAUAAAAUUGGGGGUGACUGGCUGGAAGGUGGAGCGGGGUGAUGGAUGUUGGGUGUGGGGGGGACAGGGUAGGAGUGGGUGUAGAAGGUAAAACUUUUUAUUUUUCUUAUGAAAAACAUAAAAAAAAUUGGGAAGGGUGUGGUGGAGUGGGUUGGGGUAGAAUUAUUUUUUAAAAAAAAAACAUAAAAGCAAUUAAGGGUGGAUGGGUUGAGGUGGAGUGGCAGGGGGAUGAGGGCGAGGGGAGGGUGGAGGGGCGAAGAUUGUGAGGUGGGAUUAGGAAAAAUAAAAUUAGGGAGUGGGUGAGUUGGAGGUAGGGGUGGGAGUGGGUAGGAUAAAAAAUUACUUUAUAAAUUUUAAUCAUAUUAAAAAAAAAUAAACUUGACAGCACAACUUACUUUAGUUCUUAAACUAUACCGGUGUUUAUAUAUCCUGUAACAUCUUUCAAGUGAUUAAAAUACCCAUAAGGAAGAUGUGGCAGAGAAACUGAGUGCACUCUCCUGAAAGUGCGAGAAAAAAAAAGAGAAAAGAAACUGAAUUUUUAAAGCCCUACACAUGGCCUUUUUUUAUUGGUAAAUAUUAAAAAAAUUAUUUAAAUAGUGUAUUUUAUAUAUUAAAUCUUUAAAAUAUGUGAUGUGUUUUUUUUUUAAAAAAAAAAGAUGUAAAUGAAAUUAGUGGAUCCCCUUUUUAAUUUCUUCAAUUUUCAAUUUUUUUUUCAUUUUGUUAUAUUCCUCAAUACACAUCUUACUCCAUUUAAACAUCUCCUCCUCCAUCUUCAUCCCCUCCUCUAUUCACUAUUUUCAUUUCACUAGUCUUUUACUAGUCCGUAAAAUUUAAUACCAAUGUCUUUUUAUUGACAUCGGUCUCACUCUAUAAUAUUGACAUUGAUUUGACAAAUGUAAACUUUCUUAAACUUUGAGUGACCCAUUUUGAUUUUUAGAUCCAUUCAAACAUUUCUCAUAAAAUUUAUAUUUUUUGGGAAACUUUCUUAUGCAAUCUUCAUUUCUUAUUGAGUUGUCAAGAAAAAAUUAGCUUUCAAAAAAAUCCACUCCGAGAGGGUAAAUUCGCUGGGAGGGUUCUAAGAAGAUAAUGUGAAUAUUAUAGUGAAUUUUCUUCUUUUAAGUAACUUAAAAAAUUGUUGAAGGUGAAAAAGAAGAAAAGUAAGUAUUGAGGGUUUGAAUAAUAAUGAACAACAAGAAAGAAGAAAGAGAGGGGGUUGGGGUAUGCAUUUAUAAAUUAAUCAAUUAAUAUAGUUAAUUUUGAAAAGUUUUUUUAAAAAAUAGUGAAUCAGUAAAAAGAAAUAAAAAUUAAUGAUAUGGUGCUUACAUGGUUAUUAUGUGGCGCUUAUGUGGCUAUGAUGUAGUGGUGAGAGUGUUUUUUAUCGUCUCAGGAUGAAAAAAAAUCGAUUCAAAUAUGUUGAGGGGGGUAUUUAAAUGCCCAUAUAGUUUAAGUACAAAAGUAAGUUAUUCGACCAAGUUUAUGAUUUUUUUAAAUGUAUUUUCUCUUCAUGAUUUUAAGUGACCAAUCUAGUGUUUUAAAAAACACGGUUAGGACUCGGCUGGGGCAGAGCUCUAGAAAAAUGCCUCGAGACUCAAAUGUGGGGCUUAUUUCUGUAAGACUUGUUCUAAGUGCCCGAUUAUACACCCUAAGCAUGCUUAACGUCCAACGGUCGAGGCUCGUUUAACGGACUUACACAAUUUAUGUGUUAAAAUAUUCACUUAACAUUGUUGACCCUCAUAAUUCUUGAAUAAGUGAAUGGUACUUAAUAAUUUUUUAAUCUAUAGAGAUACGAAGAUUGAGACUAACUCAAAUAACAAAUUGUACUAUCACAUCUUUACUGUUUGGUAACUCUGUGAAUGCGAUUAUAUAUUACGUAACAUGUCUUGUAAAAAUACAUAGAAAUUUUACUUUUCACUUAUCAUUGGUGUUCAUGAUUUUGUCGUAUGUCUCAAAAUUAUCAUAUUUUAUUCAACUAUUUGAAAGUAAUUUUAUUGUUAUUCAUAAUGGAGUGAUAUUUUUAUCUUAAUACUAGUAAGUUUUAUUAAUUGUUUUCUUUAAGGGUGGUAAAUUUUUUAAUAUGAUAAAAAAUAUUUUUUCGAAAUAAUGAUUCUUUUAUUAAUAGGAAGUUAAGAUAUUAAAUUAUUUAUAUAUGUAUAAUCAUAUUAAAAGUUUUAUUUUAUAUGAGUUUCCUUAAUGAUGUUUUUAAGUUUUUCAAAGUAUUGAUGUUCUUUAUAAAUAUAAUUUUGUGUUAUUAUAUCAUUAUAUAUAUUGUAAAUUAAAAAUUUAAUGAUGCAUAGGGCUUACACCCCACGUCUCUUGUCCUCUACUAAGUAAAACACUCUGUCUCACGCCCUCACCUUUUAAAAUACUGCUCCUACCAAUAUAAAUAAAAUAUGGAUAAACUCAUAUCCUAUCUAUCCAUUAAUUAUUCAAAUCAUAUUUAUCCAUAAAUAAUAUGGACGGAUCGGGUUAUUACAUUUUUUUUAUGUGCAAACCUUUUUUAACUCAUACAAAUCCAACCAAAUUCAACUAUUUACCAUCCCUAAAUCGGUGAUAUAUUUUAUUCAAAUCGGAUGGUAAUCCAACAAUAUUGUUAAAUUUACCAUAAUCUAUACCCAAUUCAUUCAAAUAAUAUGCAAUAUUUUACAAAUUUCACACCAAAAGUAAGCACAUCUAAACUAGUUAAGCAUUAUACCAUACAUAAAAAAUUCAUCAACUAAUCUUUUAAUUGAGUAAAUUAUUUAUACCCUUUUAAUUUAACUCAACUUUCAAAAUUGAUGGAUACAUGUAUCAUUAUGUAUCUCAAUUAUUUAUCUGAUUAAGAAAAUAAGUUAUAACCAAUUAAUUUAAACAAAUAAAAUAUAUAUCUCAAUUUUUGUAUUCAGCAAUACAUAUGUUUUACAAAUUCAAACUCAUAUAUCUAAGCACAAAAUAUGAUAGAGAAACUAAUAAAAUUUUAAUAAUAAAAAUUGAGAUAAGUAUCAAAAACACAUCCACGCUAUACAUUUUUUUUUGAGUUUCAUUCCUAAACUAUUGAAAGAUUGAGUUUCAUAUUUAAACUAUUACUUUUUAGUUUGACAAACACACAUCUCUUUUAUGUCACUCUCAUCAUGAUAUUUGUAAUACACACUCUCUGUAACGACCUGUUUAGUCGUUUUGAGCAGCAGAUUUUAUUCUGGAAAAACAGGCUGAGGCGACGGACCCAACGACGGACCGUCAUGGGCACGACGGACCGUCGCAGGGUCUCAUUUCAAAACACUUAGAAAAUCUGAAAUUGGGUACUGAAAAUCGACUAUCUGAACUUCGUAACGGAGUGGCAGGACGGACCGUCACAGGCCAUUCACCCAAAAUCAAGUUUCUGAACUAUGCGACGGACAGCAGGACGGGCCGUCGCAUGCGCGACGGCCCGUCACAGCUUGCGUAAUCCCAGUUGGAGUCGGAUUUCUGGUUAAGUUUUAAAGGGGCGUUUUGGACUAUUCCUGCUAUAAUUAUAUAUUUCGUAGGUUUAUAUUAAUAACUCAAAUUCUUGGGGGUUAAAAGAGGUAACCUUAAGUUAAUUAGUGGGGUAUUAUUGCCAUCUUUUAUUCUUAAUUAUAUACUAAUUAGGGUAAAAGAAAGAGGGUUUGAAUAAGAAAACAGAAAGAACGAGUAGAGAGAGAUAGAGACGAAGAGGAUAGCAAGGAUUUUGAGAAGAUAGCUUGUUGAUCGCAAUUCUUUGGUGGAGGUAGGUUAUGGUUUUCAUGCUUUCAUAGCAAACUCUUAAUAGAGAAUGAUAUGUAUUGGUAGUAUUGUAAAACCCUGCUAUGUGCUUAAUUGUAUGCAUGCAUGAACGUGAUUAUAUAAUUGUGAUUAUAUUAAGCAUGAUGAAGCUAUUGAAUCCCAAAUCUUGAUGAAAACCUAAUCUCUUGUUAAUGAUGAUGCCUUGAUAUAAAAGAAGGCUUGAUGAACUAAAGUAAUGAGAUUGAUGAUGCCUUGGUGAGAAAGAAGGCUUGAUGAAUUGAUAGAAAGAGAUUAGGGGAUCGGGUGUCACGAACCGACACGUAGAUUUAGGGGAUCGGGUGUCACGGAGAUGAUAAAUCAAGUGCUCUCUUAUCUUAGUGGGUUGUCCGAUCAAGGUGAGGCACCUCCAGGGUUUUCUGCACCAACACCUCCGAUUUCAGAGGUACAACAUGCAGCCACUAUGGCUCCUCGUAUGGAUGCCUCAUUAGAUAUAGGCACGUUUCCACGUCUGACUACUGGGCCUAUAAUGACAAAUGAUCAGCAUGAACUUUUCAGUAAGUUCUUGAAAUUGAAACCUCCAGUCUUCAAGGGUACUGAAUCUGAGGAUGCUUAUGAUUUUCUGGUUGACUGUCACGAGCUACUACACAAGAUGGGUAUAGUAGAACGGUUUGGUGUGGAGUUUGUGACUUAUCAGUUUCAAGGGAACGCCAAAAUGUGGUGGUGGUCACAUAUUGAGUGUCAACUAACAGAGGCACCACCUAUGACUUGGGCCUCAUUCUCUAGCUUGUUUAUGGAGAAGUAUAUCCCCCGAACUUUGAGGGAUAGGAAAAGGGAUGAGUUCUUGAGCCUAGAGCAAGGUAGGAUGUCGGUCAAUGCAUAUGAGGCUAAGUUUCGUGCAUUAUCCAGGUAUGCCACCCAACUGUGUUUCAGUCCACAAGAGCGAAUUCGCCGGUUUGUGAAGGGGUUGAGGUCAGAAUUGCGAAUUUCGGCCUUACAGAUAGCGGCAACGGCAAAAUCCUUCCAAGAGGUGGUAGACUUUGUGAUAGAAGUGGAAGGAGUGAAUCCAGACGACUUCACUAUGACAUCGACAUCAAAAAGGUUUUGAAAGGGAGGUGAGUUUAAUGGUGCUUACACUAGAGGACAGGGUUCGGGAAGUUACUCAGUCCGACCAAUUCAGUCUUCACUACAGACUGUAGUUGGGGGACCACCUCAGACCGGUCAACACUUCUCCGAGAGACCUAUGCUUGACUCCAGAGAGUGUUACGGAUGUGGGGAGACUGGACAUAUUAGGAGAAAUUGUCCAAAACAGAGUCACAGACCCCCAAUAGCUAGAGGUAGAGGUGGUCAUGGUAGAGGCCGUUUUUCUGGAGGGCGUGGUGGUCGAGGAAAUGGUGGUCACCAAAACGGCCGAGGUGAUGGGCAAACUGGAGCCACUACAUCACAACAUGGUAGGGGCAACGGACAGACGAACGAUAGGGCCCAUUGUUACGCUUUCCCUGGGCGAUCUGAAGCGGAGGCAUCUGAUGCUGUCAUCACAGGUAAUCUUCUGGUUUGUGAUUGCAUGGCUUCUGUGUUGUUUGAUCCUGGAUCCACGUUUUCUUAUGUAUCUUCCUCAUUUGCUAAUGGUCUAAAUUUACAUUGUGAAUUACUUGAUAUGCCUAUUCGUGUUUCUACUCCGGUGGGUGAGUCUGUGGUAGUUUAAAAGGUAUAUAGGUCUUGUUUGGUGAACUUUGUGGGGAGCAACACUUAUGUAGAUUUGGUUAUCUUAGAAAUGGAUGAUUUUGAUGUAAUUCUGGGUAUGACUUGGCAUUCUCCGCAAUUUGCGAUCUUGGAUUGUAAUGCUAAAACGGUGACGUUAGCCAAGCCUGGGACAGAUUCGUUAGUGUGGGAGGGUGACUACACUUCCAAUCCGGUGCGUAUCAUCUCCUUUCUUCGUGCUAAAAAAAUGGUUAGUAAAGGGUGUUUAGCUUUCUUGGCACAUCUCAAGGAUGACACUACCCAAGUACCUUCGAUUGAGUCGGUUUCGGUAGUCCGCGAGUUUUUGGAUGUGUUCCCUGCAGAUCUUCCUGGUAUGCCACCAGAUAGAGAUAUUGACUUCUGUAUCGAUCUUGAACCGGGUACUCGCCCCAUUUCGAUACCCCCUUAUAGAAUGGCUCCCGCGGAGUUAAGAGAGUUAAAAGCCCAACUUCAAGAGUUGUUAAACAAAGGCUUUAUUAGACCAAGUGCAUCUCCUUGGGGUGCUCCGGUUUUGUUUGUAAAGAAGAAGGAUGGGAGUUUUCGAAUGUGUAUAGACUACAGACAACUAAACAAAGUAACCAUAAAGAACAAGUAUCCUCUUCCCCGCAUCGAUGACUUGUUCGAUCAGUUACAAGGUGCUUGUGUCUUCUCUAAGAUUGACUUGAGAUCCAGUUAUCAUCAAUUGAAAAUACGGGCAACGGAUGUGCCAAAGACUGCUUUUCGAACGAGGUAUGGGCAUUACGAAUUUGUAGUGAUGUCUUUUGGUCUUACGAAUGCCCCUACUGCGUUCAUGAGCUUGAUGAACGGGAUUUUUAAGCCAUAUUUGGAUCUCUUCGUGAUCGUAUUUAUUGAUGAUAUAUUGGUAUACUCAAAGAGCAAGAAGGAACAUGAAGAGCAUUUGAGAAUGGUAUUGGAAAUGUAAAGGGAGAAAAAACUUUAUGCCAAGUUCUCUAAGUGUGAGUUUUGGCUAGAUGCAGUGUCCUUCUUGAGGCACGUGGUUUCUAAGGAUGGAGUGAUGGUGGAUCCUUCUAAGAUUGAGACAGUGAAGAAUUGGGUAAGACCUACUAAUGUGUCAGAAAUAAGGAGCUUUGUUGGGUUAGCUAGCUACUACCGUCGAUUUGUCAAGGGAUUCUCUUCUAUUGCUUCCCAAUUGACGAACUUGACUAAGCAGAAUGUUCCAUUUGUAUGGUCGGACGAAUGUGAGGAAAGCUUUCAGAAGCUCAAGACUUUGUUGACUACCGCACCUAUCCUUACCUUGCCAGUAGAGGGUAAGAACUUCAUUGUUUAUUGUGAUGCAUCCUAUUCGGGUUUGGGUGCAGUGCUAAUGCAAGAGAAGAAUGUGAUUGCUUAUGCUUCAAGACAAUUAAAAGUGCAUGAACGUAACUAUCCAACUCAUGAUUUGGAAUUGGCUGCGGUAGUGUUUGCAUUAAAGCAAUGGAGACACUAUUUAUAUGGGGUUAAGUGUGAGUACACGGAUCAUCGUAGCCUUUAGUAUGUCUUUACUCAGAAAGAUUUGAACUUGAGGCAGAGGAGAUGGAUGGAACUACUGAAGGACUACGACAUCACUAUUUUGUAUCAUCCGGGGAAGGCGAAUGUUGUAGCGGAUGCUCUAAGUAGAAAGGCGGGAAGCAUGGGAAGUCUAGCUCACUUGCAAGCUUCUAGACGCCCACUGGCUAGAGAGGUUCAGACUCUAGCUAAUGACUUGAUGAGAUUAGAAGUAAAUGAGAAGGGAGGAUUGUUGGCUUCUGUGGAGGCAAGAUCUUCCUUUCUUGACAAGAUUAAGGGAAGACAGUCUGAUGAUGAGAAACUGCGCAGAAUUCAAGAUAAGGUAUUGCGAGGAGAGGCUAAGGAAGCACAAAUUGAUGAGGAAGGUGUUUUGAGGAUCAAGGGAAGGGUAUGCGUACCACGCGUCUAUGAUUUGAUCAACACUAUUCUGACAGAGGCUCAUAGUUCAAGGUAUUCUAUACAUCCGGGUGCAACCAAGAUGUAUCGUUACCUAAAGCAACACUUUUGGUGGAGUAAAAUGAAGCGUGAUAUUGUUGACUUUAUUGCCAAGUGUCCAAACUGUCAACAAGUAAAGUAUGAACACCAGAGGCCCGGAGGAACACUUCAGAGAAUGCCCAUUCCUGAAUGGAAGUGCGAGAGAAUUGCAAUUGACUUUGUGGUUGGUCUUCCCAAGACAUUGGGAAAGUUUGAUUCUAUUAAGGUAAUUGUUGAUAGGUUAACUAAGUCUGCUCAUUUUAUUCCGGUUAAGGUGACUUACAAUGCCGAGAAGUUAGCCAAGAUCUAUAUCUCAGAAAUUGUUCGAUUGCAUGGGGUUCCACUAUCCAUCAUAUCAGAUAGAGGUACGCAGUUUACUUCUAAGUUUUGGAAAACAUUGCAUGCGGAAUUGGGUACUAGGUUGGACCUUAGUACUACGUUCCAUCCUCAGACCGAUGGUCAGUCUGAGCGAACGAUUCAAGUGUUGGAGGAUAUGCUUCGUGCGUGCGUGAUAGAAUUUGGUGGCCAUUGGGAUAGCUUCUUACCUUAGCUGAAUUUUCAUACAAUAAUAGCUAUCACUCGAGCAUUGAUAUGGCUCCAUUUGAAGCAUUGUAUGGUAGGAGAUGUAGGUCUCCCAUUGGUUGGUUUGAUGCAUUUGAGGUUAGGCCUUGGGGUACUGACCUUUUGAGGGAUUCGAUAGAGAAAGUGAAGUCUAUUCAAGAAAAGCUUCUAGCGGCGCAAAGUAGACAAAAAGAAUAUGCAGAUCGAAAGGUUAGAGACUUAGAGUUCAUAGAGGGUGAACAAGUCUUGUUGAAAGUUUCACCAAUGAAAGGGGUGAUGCGGUUUGGUAAAAGGGGUAAACUAAGUCCAAGGUACAUUGGACCAUUUGAAGUACUUAAGCGAGUAGGAGAGGUGGCUUAUGAGUUAGCCUUGCCUCCAAGGCUGUCCGGAGUACAUCCGGUAUUCCAUGUGUCGAUGUUGAAAAGAUACCAUGGGGAUGGAAACUACAUUAUCCGUUGGGAUUCAGUUUUGCUUGAUGAGAACUUGUCUUAUGAGGAGGAGCCUGUUGCUAUUUUAGAUAGAGAAGUUCGCAAGUUGAGGUCAAGAGAUAUUGCAUCCAUCAAGGUGCAAUGGAAGAAUCGACCCGUUGAAGAAGCCACUUGGGAGAAGGAGGCGGAUAUGCGAGAAAAAUACCCCCAUCUGUUUACAGAUUCAGGUACUCCUUUUCGCCCUUGUUUUCCUUCUUUUGAUCGUUCGGGGACGAACGAUGGGUAAAUUGGUAUCUAUUGUAACGACCUGUUUAGUCGUUUUGAGCAGCAGAUUUUAUUCUGGAAAAACAGGCUGAGGCGACUGACCCAACGACGGACCGUCAUGGGCACGACGGACCGUCGCAGGGUCUCGUUUCAAAACACUUAGAAAAUCUGAAAUUGGGUACUGAAAAUCGAGUCUCUGAACUUCGUAACGGAGUGGCAGGACGGACCGUCACAGGUGUGAUGGACCGUCACAGGCCAUUCACCCAAAAUCAAGUUUCUGAACUAUGCGACGGACAGCAGGACGGACCAUCGCAGGCGCGACGGCCCGUCACAGCUUGUGUAAUCCCAGUUGGAGUCGGAUUUCUGGUUAAGUUUUAAAGGGGCGUUUUGGACUAUUCCUGCUAUAAUUAUAUAUUUCGUGGGUUUAUAUUAAUAACUCAAAUUCUUGGGGGUUAAAAGAGGUAACCUUAAGUUAAUUAGUGGGGUAUUAUUGCCAUCUUUUAUUCUUAAUUAUAUACUAAUUAGGGUAAAAGAAAGAGGGUUUGAAUAAGAAAAUAGAAAGAACGAGUAGAGAGAGAGAGACGAAGAGGAUAGCAAGGAUUUUGAGAAGAUAGCUUUUUGAUCGCAAUUCUUCGGUGGAGGUAGGUUAUGGUUUUCAUGCUUUCAUAGCAAACUCUUAAUAGAGAAUGAUAUGUAUUGGUAGUAUUGUAAAACCCUGCUAUGUGCUUAAUUGUAUGUAUGCAUGAACGUGAUUAUAUAAUUGUGAUUAUAUUAAGCAUGAUGAAGCUAUUGAAUCCCAAAUCUUGAUGAAAACCUAAUCUCUUGUUAAUGAUGAUGCCUUGAUAUAAAAGAAGGCUUGAUGAACUAAAGUAAUGAGAUUGAUGAUGCCUUGGUGAGAAAGAAGGCUUGAUGAAUUGAUAGAAAAAGAUUAGGGGAUCGGGUGUCACGAACCGACACGUAGAUUUAGGGGAUCGGGUGUCACGAACCGACACGUAGAAUUAGGGGAUCGGGUGUCACGAACCGACACGUAGAUUUAGGGGAUCGGGUGUCACGAACCGAUACGUAGAAUUAGGAGAUCGGGUGUCACGAACUGACACGUAGACUUAGGGGAUCGGGUGUCACGAACCGACAUGUAGAUUUAGGGGAUCGGGUGUCACGAACCGACACGUAGAAUUAGGGGAUCGGGUGUCACGAACUGACACGUAGAUUUAGGGGAUCGGAGUGUCACGUACCGACACAAGAGGAUUAAUGAAUAUGAGGGAGCGGAGUGUCACGUGCCGACACAAGAGAAAUAAAGAACAUAAUUCCCAAAUGAGUAUGGUAUCGAGGCUUGAGUCCUCAUGUGUGAACUUGACGGUAAUUGUUAAUGAUAUAGUAUUUUUUGUUGCUACAUGUUGAGUAUCAUAGUUGAUUUUAUGAUAUUACUCGGUAUAUAUUGAUUUCUAUUUUGAGUUGGCCGAUGAUAUCUACUCAGUACCCGUGUUUUGUACUGACCCCUACUUUUAUGUUUUUCUUCUUGUUAUUUGUGGAGUGCAGCAAAUGUGCCGUCGUCUUCAACUCAACAGUAAUUCUAGCCAGUCUUCGUCACACCGGAUCUUCACGGUGAGCUAACGCUUCUAGCUUGGACUGGAUCUUCUCCUUCAUGUCUUGAUGCCUUGAACUUCUGGCAUGGACUAGUUUUUUAUGUAUUUUUAGCUUCUUAGAAACUCUUAGAAUUAGUAGUUUAAAGUAGAUGUUCUUGUGGUGAUGACUUCCAGAUUUUGGGAAACAAUAGUUAUUGAAUUGGUUUUUAUUAAUGAGUUUAAGUCUUCCGCAUUACUUUCUGUUGAUAUUAUAUUGAAAUGUUAAGGUUUAGAUCGGUUGGUUCGCUCACAUAGGAGGGUAAGUGUGGGUGCCAGUCGCGGCCCGGAUUUGGGUCGUGACACUCUCUCUCUCUUUUAUUUUUAAGAAUUUCUACAUCACACUCCACAUGAACGAAAUAUUCAACCUUGACAAAAAAUAAAUAAAUUAUUAGUAUUAGCUAAAAUUAAAAAUUAAAAAACUAUUAUAAAAAUUAAUAUUUUCUUUAUAAAAUUAAAUAUAAAAUAUUUUUCUUACCCCACACCAAUUUUCAAAGUUUUUAUUUUGCUUAAAUUUCUUUUAUAAAAGUGUUUCAUUUUUUACUUCAUCUCCUCCCCCUCAUCAAAUUCUAGUUUAGAUAUUAUUUUAUUUUCUUAAAAAUAUAAUUCUACCCAUCCACUUAACCCUCUGCUUUCAAUUUUUUUCCCAGUGUUUAGAUAUACAUAUCAAAAAUAUUUUUACUUGCCGCCACAAGACUUUUUAUAUUUUUUAGUUGUUUAUGUUAUAUUCGGUACACUAGUGAAAUUUUUUUUCUAAAGAUAUAUGUACGUGCAUAUCUAACACAAAAUAAGAAAAACUUUAAAAAAAUUAAAAUUAGUAGCAGAAAAUUAAAUAGGAUGGGGUAGAUUUUUGAAAAAUAAAAUAAUAUCAAUUUCUAUCGGUGGAAGGGGAGGGGGGGGGGAUGAAAUAUGAAAUUCUUAUAAAUAUUUUAUUAAAAAAAAGAUGGCGUUGUUGCGAGGGAGGGGGUACAUGGAGGAGGUGGUGGAGUGAGAUAAGAAAAAUAAUUUAAUUUUUUAUAUGUAUAAUAAUCUUUAAUUUUUAAUUAAUAUUAAAUUUUAUGAUUUAAUUUUUAUCUAGAUAAAAUAUUUUAUUUAUGUGGAGUGUCAUGUGUCAAAGUUUUUUAUAUAUAAAAGAGAGAGUGCACUACACAUACCAUGAGGUGUGUUUUUCAAAAUCAAAAGUGAUAGUUUAAGUAUAAAAUUAACACUUUCAAUAAUUUAGAUAUGAAACUAAAAAAAAAUUGUUCAAUUUGUGUUUUUAACACUUAUCUAAUAAAAAUUUAAAUUAAUGAGAUUUAUAUAUUGUGAGAAUUUGAAGCCGAGUAAUGUCCUACUUCAGCUAAAAAGCCCCUAACCAAUACAUUGAUUUUCUCCUCCCAAUCCAAAGAAUGUCAGUCCAAAAGGUACUCCAAAACCUAAGAACUCUGAAAAAAAGGCAAAUCCCAAAUACCCAUCUUCAUCAUAGAGCAAAAAUUGCAGACACCAUUAUCAAUGCAGUGUUAAACCCCAUAGUCAUUGCACCCUCUACUCUUCUCUCCAACCUCACUCCCAAUUUGAUUUAUCUUAUUUUAUCUGACCCACAUAUCAACACACCUAAAUGCCUCCACUUCUUCAAUUUCCUUUUGCUUAAUCAAUCUUUCAUUACUUUCAAGAUUGGUGUUGAAACCCACUUGACACUUGCUUGUAGGCUUGUCAAAGAAGGAUACUUUGAAUAUGCUGAGACCCUUUUAUUUUUAGUCCCAAAUAUUGAAACUUUCAGGUACCCUUUUACUGUUAAAGCUAGUUUUUCUUUUUUGAUUUGAUAAUCAAUAUUGUUUCGUUCCUUCUUUGAUGCUUAAAGAAUUGAAAAUUUUUAGGUGCCCUUUUGCUGUUGUAGCUUCUUUCUUUGAGAAGCACAAUGUUCAAUCAAAGUUUGCUUCAAAAAUAUUCAAUUUGCUUCUUAAAGCUUUAUCUGAUAACGCAAAAUUCAACCAGGCUUUGGAGAUUUUCAUGUAUAUGAAACUAAAUGCAAUUGAGAUUAAUGAGAGAACAUGUACUGUUCAUUUGAUUAAUCUUUUGAAGUGUGAUCAGAUCGCGUUAGCACUGGUAUUCUUUUAUCAAAUGGUUGAAUCAGGUAUUCAGGUUUCAGUAUUUUCGUUGACGGUAGUGGUAGAUGGAUUGUGUAGGAGAGGGGAGAUAAAGAAGGCUGGAGAAUUGGUGGAAGAAAUGUUAUCUAAAGGGGUGAAGCCUAAUAUUAUGACAUGUAAUACCUUGGUGGAUGCUUGUGCUAGGAGAUGGAAUUUCGAAGAAAUGAACUACACUUUGGCCUUGAUGAAAAGGGAACGAGUUGACUUAAAUGUUGAGACUUACAAAUUUUUGGUGGAUGGAUUUUUAAGUAGUGGGAAGAUUGAUGAUGCCGAGAGAUUGAUUUUGGAAAUGUAUGUCAAGGGUUUUAAAGUGGAUAUCCAUUUGUAUAAUUUGAUGAUUAAGGGAUAUUGCAGGCUAGGGAAUAUGGAAAGGGCACUUUCAUUGUUCAGGUAGAUGAUUGAGAAAGUCAUCUGCCCUAAUGGUGAUACAUAUUCAGUUUUGGUAAAAGGUCUUUGUGAUAAAGGACAGGUAAGUGCAGCGAAAGAGCUCGUAGAUAAAAUGUUGGGUCAGGGAGUUGAGUUGGAUGGAAGUAUGUUGGACAUCUUAAUUUACUUUUACUUCAAGGCUGGAAUGAUAGAGGAUGCACAUUCUGCUGAAAUGACUAAUGUUUCAGCAGUACUAAAUGAGUAUAUAAAGUGAAAUGUUGCUUACUUGUUUUUCUAAUAAGAUGGACACUGCAUCCUAACUGAAAAGAACCCAUGAUGGUGUGGCACUGAAGGAAUGUUUUGAAGACGUUUGUUGUCUUGUGAGUCAAGGGGUGCGGGUUUUGUCCUGAUAGUGCUAGAUUUUUGGACGAUAAAACAGGCUGGAAAUGAUGUGGGUUGUCAAUUAUCACCUUGGGAGUUAUUUUCCUUCAUCAACCAUAUACAGAGAAGCUUUCAUUUCCUUGAUGCAAGACUGAAUAAAUAUUAGUUCUUCUUAAAUGGAGAUUUGGAUGGGAAAAAACAGUCAUAUUUUUUUAACAAGACGACACAAUACGAAGGGCUACAACGCGGGAUAUACCAUGCUCAAAAUGUGUCAAAAAUUCAGUUGUGUAUGUUCCAAUUUGUUUAGUGUAUCUGACGGACUGCCAAUGUGUUUUGAAAAAGACUGAUUAUACCUAGUUCAGAUAUGAUGGAUUCUUCGUUAUCUAUGGAAAAGUUUGUUUGGGAAUCAAGGGAAGACAACGAAAAGUAAAACGGAGAGGAGGAAGUGAAGGAUAAAGAACUCUACUUUUGUUCAGAGAAAUGAGGAAACCAUAUGCUUGCCCGUUGUCUCUUCACAUUCACUACUUGUGCAUUGAAGGUAAAUCAAUUUUCCUCUUCAUUCAUUUUCCCCCAUCUUCUAUACGAGCCAAACAAAAAAUUGCAAACUUUUAUACUCUUUUGCCUAUUUUCUCAUCUCCCCCCUUUUGCCUUCCCCUAGUCAAAUCAAAGCCUAAAUUUCAUAUGACACGACUCAUUAGUACUUUUUAUCUAUAAUCUGUACCUAAACUUGGUGUCUAUACUCUUGUCAAUAAUAAUAUUAAGAAUACUAUUGGCCAAAUGCAUAAUCUGUACCUAAACUUGGUGUCUAUACUCUUUUUACUCUUGCUUUGUCGUCUUCUUUCUCAAAUAUGAUCUUAGUUGUGGUUAGAUUUUUUUAUAUUCUUUAUGUUUUUAUUCUUUUACUAAUGAUUGUGUAACCUAUGCAUUCAACUUUCUUUUAUAAUUGAUUAAUUUUUAAGAAUAAUCUAAAACAUGUUUAAGUGUAUGUAUAGUGCAUAUAGAGGGUAAUAUCUUUAUCUUUUCUACUUAAUUAGCAUGCUUUGAUUUGUUGCUUGCUUUUAUCGGUGAACUAAAAUUGUGAAUAAAUCAUCUAAGUCAAUUUCUAUUAGGGUAUGUUCGGUAUGGAGGAAAUAUUUUUCACUUUUCUUAUGUUUGGUUGGUCAAGAUGUUUGAAAAAUAUUUUCUAAAAAGAAACUAAUUCCUUUAAAAAUGAGGAAAAUGACUUUUCUAACGAAAAUAGAAAAAACAAGUUGCAUAAGUGACAUUUCAAGUUUAUUAUCUCCUCACCAACUAUUCAAUUAUAAUCACUCCCAUUCCCCUAUGUUUGGCUUUUAUGUUUUUUAUUAAACGUUUUCCUCCAUACCAGUCACACCCUAAUAGAAAUUAAAUGGAUGAUUUCACAAUUUUAGUUCAAUGAUAAAAGCCAAGCAACAAACAAAAGCAUGAUACUUGAGUAAAAAAAGAUAAAAGCAUACACCAUAUAUGCACUAUACAUUUCAAACAUGCUUUUGAUGAUUUGUCAAAAUUAAUCAAUUAUAAAAAUAAAAAAAAGGAUAAGUAAACUCGUGAGAUGGUAAUUAUUUAUCACCUAACUUCCCCCCCCCCUUAAGCAGUGAAACGAGAACAAGAAGACGACAACGAAUGAGUAAAAAGAUAAGAACGGAAAAUAAUCUAACUACAAGUAACAACACGAAAAAGCAAUAGUAGAAAGAUAAGAACAAGGAUAAAUCUAAGUACAAAUAAGACCAACUACAUUUGUUAAAAUUUGUGAAUUUGACUUUGACCACUUCAAUUCAUGUAAUAUGCUUUAUUCAAAAAUAAAACAAGACAACAAAAAACAUAAAAAUAAAUCUAAUUACAAGUAACACCAAAUUCAUCAUUUAAAUUUUAUGAAUUUGAGUUUGAUCGUCUCAAUUCAUUUAAUUUACUUUAAGAUAUAUAUUUGUGCUUUUAAUAGAAUCAGAUUGAAAACUAUUGCAUUCACUUAAAAUCAUAGGAAUAACUCUAUUUCCUUUCCUUUAUGUGUUAAACUACACUGAUGUGUCUUGCAUAAAUAUUCCACUCCUUUAGACAGAGUAUUCAGAAAGAAACAUAAAAAAAAAUUAUAACCUUGAAAGGACUUUACUCUCAUUUGUUUUCAUUAAGAUUAAAAUGUUUGAAUUUGAACACACAUAUUCGAAUAUUAAGAUGUGUGCAUUAAGAUUUAUAAUUUAGAAUCUGAAUGUACAUCUGAAUAUUAAGAUGUAGUUUCUAAUUUUGAAUAUUGAAUUAUUAAGUUUAUUUGUUUUCAAUAUUUAAAUGAGCAUGUUUUUUUUUCUAAAAAAAAAAUAGGAAUCAAAGAAUACCAAUAAAAGUUAUAAUCCAAAUCAAGAUUGAUAAAUAUAUAUGUAUAGCUAAAAGGAUAGUUUAGUCUUUUGUACGUAUCUACAUAUUAUGAAUAUCUCAUAUACUUGGUGAAUGUAUCUAUUCAAGAUAGUUAUUCUUUCACGGUACUAGAUACCCAGGUGCGCUCUAACUCUUUUUCUCCUAUGUAUCAUCAUUAUUACAUCUUCCUCCCUCGGUACUCAGACCUCUUCUACCACUUCCAUGGCUACUAUUUUUGUUGCACCUUCUAUUCCAAAUUUCGUUUUUUCUGUUUCCAACAUCAAAAAUUUGAUUCUUACCACUCUUGAUUAUACAAAGUACAUGCUUUGUAGAGAGUUAUUUAUCCCAUGUUUAAAGGAGAUAGUGUCUAUGGAUUUCAUCGAUGGAAGUCAUCCAUGUACAAACUCUUACCGUGGAGAACGAAACUUUUACUAUUAAUCAUGUUUUUCAUGUAGAGAGUUAUUUCUUCCCAUGUUUAAAGGACAUAGUAUCUAUGGCUUUCAUCGAUGGAAGUCAUCCAUGUCCAGAACCUACUCUUACCAUGGAGAACGAAACUUUGACUAUUAACCAUGUUUUUCAACAACAGGUCAAACUUGACUCCAUUGUUUUGUCAUGGAUUCAAGCCACAAUCUCUCAAGCGAUACUUAAGGCUAUUAUUCGCUCUAACAACCGUCUUACUACUCGUGAGGCGUGACUACAAAUUGAACGUUUGUUUCAUGAUCAUGCCAAUUUCGAGACUCUCCAACUUAAGGUUCAAUUUCGUAGUCUUAACAAAAGUUCUCUUUCUAUCUUUGAUUAUGUGCACCGCCUGAACUCCAUUGUCGAUGCCUUGAUAUCAAUUGACAAUCCUAUCUCUGAUUUAGAUCUUGUUCUCCAAGAUUUUUAUGGCCUACCUUCUGAAUAUCUCUCUGUUAGCACUUCAAUCUCCACCAGAAUUCCACUUCCUUCGUUUCUUGAGACCAGAUCUCUUUUAGUUCUUCAUGAGACUCAAUUAAGUGGUCUUUCCUCUACCGCAUAAGAUUCUUCUACUGCUUUACUAGCUAAACUGUCACAAAUGGAGCUUACACUCAAGAUAUGACCGACACUCGAGAACUAUUCAAUUCAACAUCAAAGGCAGUUCGAAAAAUUUCAGGUAGAAAAAAAUAAAUAUUAAAUUAUGCAAGUUCCUUAUCUUAUAUUAUUUUUUGGUCCUUCGACAUUCAUGAAUUUGAGAGGAUCAAACAUUUAAACAAAACAGUUAAAAUUAAAGAAUGGUCGCCAUUAGUCCGCAAGUUAAUUUCAAGUUCAUCAACACUGAGGGAUUUCAACCACUCCAAAGAAAAAUGAAAAAGAACGUUGAAAGAAGCCUUAUUAAGUUCCAAUUAUAGAAUCAAGAAUGGAAUUAUUAGAUACUGCAGCCUCACGUAACGAGUCUAGCAUUGAAAAUAUGUUAGAUCUGCUAGAAACAACACAAGCAUACCUACUCAAUUAAAAGGAAGUGCCAACAAAAAGUAAAUAUCAAGAAGAAGACUCCACGUAACAAGUUAUGCUAUACAAAUCACAAUCAAGUUUCAAGAUCACUUUAUGAUUCAACAUGGAAUAAUAGAAGCAUAUUAUGAUAUUUAAUAUGUCAACAAAUUAACAAAUGUGUGGAUCCCGCAGAAAUAAAAAGUCAUGCCACAAAGUGACAAAAUACCAAGAAACAAGGUACAAGAUCAAUUUUAAGCAAAAAUAUCUUCAAAGAAGAUAGACAUGCAUCAAAUUCAACAAAAAACCACAUGUGCAAAGUUCCACCUAUGUGGCAUAUAUUCCCUGCCACGUGUAGUUAUCAUCAGUUAUAAUGUAAUGAUUAGUAAACACAUGUAAAACGAAUAGUGUGUAUUAUUGUAUGCACACAUAAGUUAGAUUAGUCAACACUUUUGAGGCUUAUUUAAGACUUUCAACUUGUAUCAUUAGAGGACAUUCAAAAUCUUACGACUUUGAAACCUCUCUACAUUUCUCUCCAUUUCCCCCCACUUUUCCCAUCCUUUUCCAUCCAUUUUCUCUUUCCCUAAAUAAAUAAAAAAAAAUUAUUGCAAGUAUACCUUCUCUACUACUAUUUUGUUUAUUUGUUUUCAUGUUGUAAAGUUUAAGUUUUACUGUUGUUUUCUUAUUUUUUACCUUAAAUGUUUUCUUUUAAGUGUCUACUUGUUCUUUCUCCCCUUUUGUUACGUUGGCAAUUUUCCUUAUGAUUUCAUCUUGGAACUCGAUUCAUCCCCUUUAUUAGUAUUAGAAUCAAGUUGGUAGGAAAGGGUAUGAGUAGGAGCGGCUAAGUCCCUAUACUGUCCUUGGGCAGACAUCGCCGAAACUUAAAUUGUGAUCGUGGCAUGACUUUUUAUUCCUACGGGGUCCACAUGUUUGUUAAUUUGUUGACAUACAACAUUUUCUUGUAUUUUCCUAUGUUGAAUUAUAAAGUUGUCUUGAAACUUGUUUGUAUCACUGAAUUGUAUAGCAUAACUUUUUCUGUGGGAUCUUCUUCUUGAUAUUGUCUUUUUUGUUGGCAUUUGCUUUUAAUUAAAGAGGUAUGCUUGUUCUGUUUCUUGUAGAUCUAACAUAUCUUCGUUGCUAGACUCGUCAUGUGAGUCUAGCAGAGUCACAUGUAAUCUAAUAUCCUCAGCGGAGUCACCAUUCUGUCGCGCCCCAUUUUUUGCAAAAAAAAAAAUGGGUUUUAUGCACGACCUAAUAACUCUUUUGGGAUUUUGAGUUUGGAGUCGCCACCUAAUGAAUUAAGGCGCGUUAGGGCACCUAUCUAACCUAACUAAGUCUAUCUAAGGUCAACGAGCCAGAUAUCAGGGUAAGGUUCAAAUUACCUCGAGGGGAAGGUGUUAGGCAUCCCUCGAGAUCCAAAAAUGAGGGUCUCGGCCGUAUCUCAUGCAAUCUAGGUGGGGAUUACAAGUAGUAAAUAAGGUCACAUCAUUUAUUAAUUUAUUUAAGCUUGCUAAGUGAUCACAAAUAUAAAACAAUUAAGACUAUUUUAUUAUUUUUAUUAAUUUAAACAUGCAAGGCUAGGUAAUAGCAAUAAAUAAACAGUCAAGUUUAUUUUUGUUUAUUUUAACAUACCAGAUUGUGUUAAACAAUCGAACAAAGAGCUCGUAUUAUUAUUUUAAUUAAUAUUUAAUUAUGCGAGUCUAAGUGAUAAAAUAUUAAAAAAUUGAGAAAAAUUUUAUUCUUUUUUUAUUUAAUUAUUUAAGCAUGCAAAACUAAGUGAUAACAAUAAAUAAACAUUAAUAAAAAUUUAAAGAUAAGCGAGGGGAUAGAUAAGAGGCAAAUAAAUAAGCAAACAAUUUUAUUGUUUUUAGUUUAAUUUACCCCAAAUAAAUUACUAAACAAUUAAAAUUACUUCAAUUAUUUAUUAUUUGAGCAUACGAUCUAUGUGAUAAACAAAUAUUGUAUAUAUUAAGCAAUUAAUAAAGAGAUAAACAAGAAGACAUAAUAUGCACAAAAGAUAUAGAAAAUAGCUCGAUUUAAUUUAUUAUGCUACACCAAACAAGAGUAAUAUGUGCCAAAGUAAAGUUUUGAAAAAUUGAGCAAGUUUUGAAUAGAAAUUUUUAUUUUGAAAAAUGUUUGUUUCUUUAUAGAGGUGAUGUCACGAUAUUGUUAAUCGCGCUCCUCCACCAUAGAAACAAUUUUGAUUUGAGGUCGGUCUUAGAAAAAUAACAAUAGUUUGUACUUUUGAAAAUGAUUUAAGAGAUUCAGUUUGCAUAUAGGCACAUAUAUAUUUACAUAUAAAUACACAUAAUUCCUUUUGAAAAUCAUGGGUAGGUGGUACUUCCGGGGACUCGUCGGUUUAAUUUAAAAAUUGGAACUAGACCUCGUAAUUCCUUUGACUUUCCCACUAACGAUAGGUUAGGAGAUAGUUCUUAUAAUUUAUUUUUAAAAAACAAAUGUCAUAAUCAAUCCAAAGGUUUAAAGGAGGAUUGAACAAUGACUUUUUUUAAAAAAAACAUGUUGCAAAACUUUGUAAAAAAAAAAGGAAAAACUACUAGAACAUUAAUGUAGUAAAUUUAUUAAAUGCGAAGAUUUUACUAUGAAAUAUAUUCAAAAGUCAAGUAAUUUGUUAAAUGCAACAAAUGAUUUUAUUUUAUUUUAUUUUUAUGGUUAGAUCUAAAAUUACUUUAUCAAAAAAAUGUCAAAUAAAUUACGAACAUAUAGGCAUGCUUUCUAAUACAAAUAAGUUUGCAAAUAAAAAAAAUAUGAUUAACAUACAACUUCCCCUCCCCUUAAGCAGUCCUCAAAUAUUUCGUAUGCGAGAGCUUUUGAGUUAUACAAAUAUUACAAAAAUUCGAAUAAAUAUAGAUUCAAAUAUAUGAAUUAGAUGAAUUAAUCUCUCUUCAUAUCUAAUCUUCAACUUGAACUUCAAGUUUAAUACUUGCCAAAGCAAUCAAAUGACUACACAAGUAAUCACAUUUAUUUAGACAAGAUUAGACACAUAUGCAAUUGUUUAACAACAAGUUUUAUAUAUAGGGGAAUUGAACAAUAAACUUUCGUAAAUGUAUGAAUGCGAAAGGAAUACUAACCGGUUGAGCAGAAAGGGUUGGUAGCGAUGAGAACGAGUUGAUCAAACUUCUAUUUCAACAAAGCAAAGUAGCCAAGUAGUAGCAAAGAAGAACACCGAAAUCUUAAUUUUGUUUAAGAAUAGUAAUAGUAUAAGUGGUAAGAGGAUGUGAGCUCUUGUAUUGAGAGAGAGAGUGAAUGAGUUGAUGAUAUAAUGAAGGGAGGGGUCUU